Molecule: ribosomal RNA, 159 nt
Filed under: uncultured bacterium
Lineage: Bacteria
Description: partial 16S ribosomal RNA
Rfam family: Bacterial small subunit ribosomal RNA
Source: RNAcentral
GUCGAGAAUUUUUCUCAAUGGGCGAAAGCCUGAAGGAGCGACGCCGCGUGGGGGAUGAAUGGCUUCGGCCCGUAAACCCCUGUCAUUUGCGAACAAAUUGUUUCACCUAACACGUGAAGCAUUGAUUGUAGCGGAAGAGGAAGGGACGGCUAACUCUGU